RNAcentral lists this ribosomal RNA (301 nucleotides) under uncultured bacterium. RNAcentral's name for it is "partial 16S ribosomal RNA". It matches the Rfam family "Bacterial small subunit ribosomal RNA", at positions 509 to 807 of the family's 1533-position model. The record is from RNAcentral.
CAGUAGCCGCGGUAAUACGAAGGGUGCAAGCGUUAAUCGGAAUUACUGGGCGUAAAGCGCGCGUAGGUGGUUCAUUAAGUUGGAUGUGAAAGCCCUGGGCUCAACCUGGGAACUGCAUCCAAAACUGGUGAGCUAGAGUACGGUAGAGGGUAGUGGAAUUUCCUGUGUAGCGGUGAAAUGCGUAGAUAUAGGAAGGAACACCAGUGGCGAAGGCGACUACCUGGACUGAUACUGACACUGAGGUGCAAAAGCGUGGGGAGCAAACAGGAUUAGAUACCCGAGUAGUCCCUGUCUCUUAUAC